RNAcentral lists this unclassified non-coding RNA (280 nucleotides) under Hevea brasiliensis (rubber tree). The record is from RNAcentral. Lineage: Eukaryota; Viridiplantae; Streptophyta; Magnoliopsida; Malpighiales; Euphorbiaceae.
AGCAUACUCCCGCAUUGUUCCCCCAACGAGAUAUAUACAGGAUGGAGAUGGCAACAUGCUUGUUUGAAGCAUAUGAACACACUAGAUGCACAAGCAAAACAUCUUUACAUUACACCAUUCUCUUCGUACAAUUGUCUCCACCAAUCAUAUGCAAUGAGCAUGAAUCAUCUGAACCUUCCUCCAGCCUCCUUUAGAUAGCUCGGAUGGCGUUACCUCUGAAAUCAGAUUUUAUAGGAAGGUCCAUUUUAUCUUUUUCAGCACCCAGGCCAUAUGAUGAAAG